This 484-nucleotide ribosomal RNA is filed under the name uncultured bacterium. Its description in RNAcentral is "partial 16S ribosomal RNA". It matches the Rfam family "Bacterial small subunit ribosomal RNA", at positions 30 to 507 of the family's 1533-position model. The record is from RNAcentral.
AUUGAACGCUGGCGGCAGGCCUAACACAUGCAAGUCGAGCGGAUGAAGGGAGCUUGCUCCUGGAGUCAGCGGCGGACGGGUGAGUAAUGCCUAGGAAUCUGCCUGGUAGUGGGGGAUAACGUCCGGAAACGGGCGCUAAUACCGCAUACGUCCUGAGGGAGAAAGUGGGGGAGCUUCGGACCUCACGCUAUCAGAUGAGCCUAGGUCGGAUUAGCUAGUUGGUGGGGUAAAGGCCUACCAAGGCGACGAUCCGUAACUGGUCUGAGAGGAUGAUCAGUCACACUGGAACUGAGACACGGUCCAGACUCCUACGGGAGGCAGCAGUGGGGAAUAUUGGACAAUGGGCGAAAGCCUGAUCCAGCCAUGCCGCGUGUGUGAAGAAGGUCUUCGGAUUGUAAAGCACUUUAAGUUGGGAGGAAGGGCAGUAAGUUAAUACCUUGCUGUUUUGACGUUACCAACAGAAUAAGCACCGGCUAACUUCGUG